RNAcentral lists this ribosomal RNA (459 nucleotides) under uncultured bacterium. RNAcentral's name for it is "partial 16S ribosomal RNA". It matches the Rfam family "Bacterial small subunit ribosomal RNA", at positions 338 to 795 of the family's 1533-position model. The record is from RNAcentral.
CCUACGGGAGGCAGCAGUGAGGAAUAUUGGUCAAUGGCCGGGAGGCUGAACCAGCCAAGUCGCGUGAGGGAUGACGGCCCUACGGGUUGUAAACCUCUUUUGUCAGGGAGUAAGGUGCAGCUCGUGACCCUCUGUGAGUGUACCUGAUGAAUAAGCAUCGGCUAACUCCGUGCCAGCAGCCGCGGUAAUACGGAGGAUGCGAGCGUUAUCCGGAUUUAUUGGGUUUAAAGGGUGCGCAGGCGGAGGCACAAGUCAGUGGUAAAAUCGCGGGGCUCAACCCCGCUCCGCCGUUGAAACUGUGUGCCUUGAGUGCGCGAAGGGUAGGCGGAAUGCGUGGUGUAGCGGUGAAAUGCAUAGAUAUCACGCAGAACUCCGAUCGCGAAGGCAGCCUACCGGAGCGCAACUGACGCUCAUGCACGAAAGCGUGGGUAUCGAACAGGAUUAGAUACCCCAGUAGUC